This 478-nucleotide ribosomal RNA is filed under the name uncultured bacterium. RNAcentral's name for it is "bacterial SSU rRNA". It matches the Rfam family "Bacterial small subunit ribosomal RNA", at positions 8 to 479 of the family's 1533-position model. The record is from RNAcentral.
AGAGUUUGAUCCUGGCUCAGAUUGAACGCUGGCGGUAUGCUUAACACAUGCAAGUCGAACGGCAGCACGAGGAAGUUUACUUCUUCGGUGGCGAGUGGCGGACGGGUGAGUAAUACAUAGGAAUCUACCUUUUAGUCUAGGAUAACUACCCGAAAGGGUGGCUAAUACUGGAUGUGGACUACGGUUUAAAGCAGGGGACCUUCGGGCCUUGCGCUAAGAGAUGAGCCUAUGUGGGAUUAGCUAGUUGGUGAGGUAAUGGCUCACCAAGGCGACGAUCUCUAGCUGGUUUGAGAGGAUGACCAGUCACACGGACACUGAAAUACGGGUCCGACUCCUACGGGAGGCAGCAGUAGGGAAUAUUGGGCAAUGGAGGCAACUCUGACCCAGCCAUGCCGCGUGAAGGAUGAAGGCCCUCUGGGUUGUAAACUUCUUUUAUCAAGGAAGAAACCUUCGAUUUCGAAUCGAAGCUGACGGUACC